RNAcentral lists this ribosomal RNA (429 nucleotides) under bacterium. RNAcentral's name for it is "partial 16S ribosomal RNA". It matches the Rfam family "Bacterial small subunit ribosomal RNA", at positions 355 to 776 of the family's 1533-position model. The record is from RNAcentral.
UGGGGAAUCUUCCGCAAUGGACGAAAGUCUGACGGAGCAACGCCGCGUGAGUGAUGACGGCCUUCGGGUUGUAAAGCUCUGUUAAUCGGGACGAAUGGUUCUUGUGCGAAUAGUGCAAGGAUUUGACGGUACCGGAAUAGAAAGCCACGGCUAACUACGUGCCAGCAGCCGCGGUAAUACGUAGGUGGCAAGCGUUGUCCGGAAUUAUUGGGCGUAAAGCGCGCGCAGGCGGAUUGGUCAGUCUGUCUUAAAAGUUCGGGUCUUAACCCCGUGAUGGGAUGGAAACUGCCAAUCUAGAGUAUCGGAGAGGAAAGUAGAAUUCCUAGUGUAGCGGUGAAAUGCGUAGAUAUUAGGAAGAACACCAGUGGCGAAGGCGACUUUCUGGACGAAAACUGACGCUGAGGCGCGAAAGCCAGGGGAGCGAACGGG